CUGACCACAUGCAGCCUGCAUUUUGGAGCGGCAUUCUGCAAGCAGUUCUGGUGUUUCUUUCCAGGAAGGGCUGCUUUCACACCCUCUAUGUUGCAAGAGCUGGGCAGGAUUGCUUAUUUUCCAUCGGCUCUUGUUGUGCUUGGAUCAGUCAGCCUUAGGGACUGGGAAGCGCACGGUGCACGCAGCUCGGCUUUUGUAACUGGUAAUUUGGUUUGGAAAUGUUAUCCAAACAAACAGCAGGAUGAGAGUUAAGACCUGUGCAGAAUCUGCUCCGUCAGAAACGAGUUCAGAGUCAGUUCUGCCUGCCUAAACAUUUCGCCCAACAGCUCAUUAAAAUGGAAAUAUUCAAAGGAGACUUUUCCCCCCCGAUUAGAUCGUUCCUUUGAUAAGAGCAUUAACGAGCAUAUUUUCCCAUAAAUAAAAUGAACAAGCCUCGAGGGCAGGGAAGGUUGUUUCGCCUGCAAUGAGUUAUGUGCCAUGCUCGUCCUUUUGCUGCUAUGGGAAUCACUUUGCCCCUUUGCUGCAGCUGGGAACAACCUGAGAACGGCCUCAGUGCAGCAGAGCUGGCAACGUGGGCUCUCUUCCAGAUGUAGACAUCUACUUCUUGCAGCUUUUUUCUGGGUAUAACCCCAAAAGCUGCUCGGAGUGGUGCCAGCACCCAGCACAGCCCCUCGGUGACAUUGGUGACACAGGAGGGGACAGGCAGUGCUCCUGCCAGCCUGUUUGUUUGAGCUUCAUGCAGCCUCGUGCUUUCUAUCCAUGAGCUCCUGUGGUUGAACCAAUAUUGACUCAGGGCUGUGUGUACAGAGCUGGUCAGCGAUUCCCCCAGAGCUGCUGCUGGCCAUCGGGCAGCUCAGCGGGAUGCUCAGCAGCUCAGGUUGGUGACAGCUGGUAAAGAAUGGAAAAUGCUCAUGAAUUUCAGACUGCUGAGCCCAUUUUCAGACUUCCAAACCACAGGUGUGAGGACACACGAUGGCACAUGCCAUUGAGG
RNAcentral lists this long non-coding RNA (991 nucleotides) under Gallus gallus (chicken). Its description in RNAcentral is "long non-coding RNA NONGGAT005616". The record is from RNAcentral. Lineage: Eukaryota; Metazoa; Chordata; Aves; Galliformes; Phasianidae.